RNAcentral lists this long non-coding RNA (202 nucleotides) under Linum usitatissimum (flax). Its description in RNAcentral is "long non-coding RNA (LUSI_LNC006295)". Lineage: Eukaryota; Viridiplantae; Streptophyta; Magnoliopsida; Malpighiales; Linaceae. The record is from RNAcentral.
ACCGCUUCUAUCGAUUUUGAGCCACACUCAGCUGUACUUGAUUCACUCAAACUCGAGAGGCCGUCUCCUGGAUGAUCUAUGGUCCAGUAAACAACUUCUCCUUCCGACCCUUCCAACUUCCUCGGGAAACGCUUUUCUUUCUCGUUUAUUCUCUCUCAAAUCCCAUCGAGCGGAUCUCUGUAUAGGUAAAACCCCGAGCUGG